RNAcentral lists this ribosomal RNA (680 nucleotides) under uncultured archaeon. Its description in RNAcentral is "bacterial SSU rRNA". It matches the Rfam family "Archaeal small subunit ribosomal RNA", at positions 207 to 844 of the family's 1478-position model. The record is from RNAcentral.
GGAUGGCUCUGCGGCUUAUCAGGUUGUAGUGAGGGUAACGUCCUCACUAGCCUAUGACGGGUACGGGCCCUGAGAGGGGAAGCCCGGAGAUGGACUCUGAGACACGAGUCCAGGCCCUACGGGGCGCAGCAGGCGCGAAAACUCCGCAAUGCUCGAAAGAGUGACGGGGGGAUUCCAAGUGCCUACGCUCAGCGUAGGCUGUUCAGAUGCCUAAAAAGCAUCUGGAGUAAGGGCUGGGUAAGACGGGUGCCAUCUGUGGCAGCAGCCGAAAAUUUGGCUUGCUACUGCAAGGCAUAAGCCGCCGCGGUAAUACCCGCAGCUCGAGUGGUAGUCGAUUUUAUUGGGCCUAAAGCGUCCGUAUCCGGUCUGGUAAAUGCUUGGGUAAAUCGUCUGGCUUAACCAGACGAAUUCCGGGUAGACUACCAGACUUGGGACCGGUUGAGGAAGAGGGUACUUCAGGGGUAGGAGUGAAAUCCUGUAAUCCUUGAAGGACCACCAGUGGCGAAGGCGCUCUUCUAGGACGGGUCCGACGGUGAGGGACGAAAGCCAGGGGAGCAAACCGGAUUAGAUACCCGGGUAGUCCUGGCCGUAAACGAUGUGGGCUUGGCAUUGGGGGUUCUACGUGAGCGCCCAGUGUCGUAGCGAAGGCGUUAAGCCCACCGCCUGGGAAGUAUGGUCGC